This 2124-nucleotide long non-coding RNA is filed under the name Equus caballus (horse). RNAcentral describes it as "lncRNA (ENSECAG00000046664.1)". The record is from RNAcentral. Lineage: Eukaryota; Metazoa; Chordata; Mammalia; Perissodactyla; Equidae.
GAAUAGGAUGACUUGAAAUCAUAAAGAUGUGAAUUCUAGUUAAUUUAUAAAAUUAAUGUUAUGACAGUUAAAAAAAGAUCAAAAACCAUCCCAGAGAGUUAGAUUAGUUGAUACAAAAGUUCAUGUGGAAUAACCAGUAUGAAACGAUAGCCAGAAAGCUCCUUGAUGAGGUGAAGCCCUUUCAGGUUUGAAACACAUGAUAAAGCAUCUCUUAUGCCAUGUGUUAUAGGUGCAUGAACAGACAACAAGACUAGAGGAACGGAACUGCACAUCUAGAAGUAGAUACAGGUACAUAAGGAAGUUUAGUACAUGAUAAAAGUGGCAUCUCAACCCACUAGGUGAAGAGGGAUUUUUUAAACAAUUGGCACUAGGACAACCGGGUAACCAUUUGGAAAACGAUACAUAUAGAUCCAUAUCUCAUUCCUAUCCAAGGGUAAAAGUCAAUUGAAUCGGGUAUCCAAACAGAUAUGCAUCUACACAUUCCUAGGCAUGUUCACAUCUACAUGUAUCCAACCAUACAAGUUCUGGAAGAAAAUGAAACUUGGUUUAUCUUCUAUAAUCUUGGUGUGGGGAAAGGGUUCCUAAACAUCACUCAAAAUCCAAAUGCAAGCAAAGAUUGAUAACUUGGACUCUAUAAUUUUUUUUAAAUUUGCAGGCAAAAUUGCCAUAAAGUCAUGAGAAAUCAGGCAAACUGAAAAUAAAUAUUUUCAACGUAAUCGAUAAAGGAUCAUAUUAAAAAAUAAUAAUAAUUCCCAGCAAACCCACUUUUAAGAACUAUAACCAACAUCUUGAAGCCUAAUCAGCCUCAGUCCAGGAAAAGAAGUGGCUGACGAGUCAGUCCAGGGAAAAAUAGUUGAUGAUGGAGAGAACUGAGAUCUCCUCAGCCAGGGAAAAUAGCCAAUGAGCAAGUAACUCCAAAGAAAACAGUUUAUGACACAGCAGACAGUGAGUGAUCCCCUGAAUCUGUGGAAAACAGGUGAUCAAGUCAUUCCAAGGAAAACAAGUCCACGACCGAAUCAGUCCAGGGGAAAGAAGUCAAUGAGGAGUCAAUCCAGAGGAAACAAGUCAAUGACCGAGUAGACUGAGGCAAAAUAAGCCGAUAACUGAGUCAAUCUAGGAGAAAGCAGUUGAGGACCGAGUCAGCCCACAGAAAAUAGUCAAUGACCAAGUCAGAGGGGAAAGAAGUCAAUGAUUGAGUCAAUCCAGGGGAAACAGUCGAUGAUAAAAUCAGUCUAAGAGAAGCCAGUUGAUGGCUGAAUUGGUCUGGGAAAGUCAAUGACCAAGUCAAUCCAGGGGGAAAGAGUCAACGACCCAGUAAGCCCAAGGAAAAUAGUCGAUGACCGAGCCAGUCCAGGGAAAAGAAGUCAAUGAGGAGUCAAUCCAGGGAAAACAAGUCAAUGACCGAGUCAACUGAGGCAAAAGAAGUCAAUGACUGAGUCAAUACAGGGGAAACAAGUCGAUGACCAAGUCAGUGCAGGCAAAAAAAAGUCGAUGAUCUAGUCAAUCUAGGGGAAACAGUCAAUGAUCAAAUUCGUCUAGGAGAAGCCAGUUGAUGACUGAACUGGUCUGGAAAAGUCAAUGACCAAGUCAAUCCAGGGGAAAGAAGUUGAUGACUGAAGAAGUCCAGCUGCUAGUUAAUGUGUGGCACACUCCAAGAAAACAGAAAGGUGCACUUUCUCAUUUAAUGCCUUAUGUAAUUGUGGGGGUAGGAUAUGUCAGGAAACAAUUAAAAAGUAGGCAAAAUAUUGUAUUUGUUAACAAAACAAGUAUAAAAUAUGUAAAGCUUUAAUCUGAGAGCCACAAAGAUAGAACCUAACAUAUUUGUGAAAUAAGGAACACAGUGAUCUCAUAGUAAACUGACAGACAAAUCUUUUAACUCAUACACUAAUAUAUGGGAUACAAGCAUUAUAUUCCACAGCAAUGACUCUCAUCUCAAGAGUUGGUUUUUCUUCUGAGCUGCUCCACUGAUGUGGGUUCCACUAUGUUGCUUGCAUUUCUAUGAUUUUGGUGGAAAUACAUUCAGAAUUAUAUACCUUGGUCAGUAUAUAAUCCCACUGGAACGACAGUGACAAAUGAUUUUGUAACUCUAGUGCAUUUCUCACCCUACACACUUGUUGGCAAUUU